CAUGACGGUACCGUAAGAAUAAGCACCGGCUAACUACGUGCCAGCAGCCGCGGUAAUACGUAGGGUGCGAGCGUUAAUCGGAAUUACUGGGCGUAAAGCGUGCGCAGGCGGUUCUGUAAGACAGGCGUGAAAUCCCCGGGCUUAACCUGGGAAUGGCGCUUGUGACUGCAGUGCUGGAGUGUGGCAGAGGGGGAUGGAAUUCCGCGUGUAGCAGUGAAAUGCGUAGAUAUGCGGAGGAACACCGAUGGCGAAGGCAAUCCCCUGGGCCUGCACUGACGCUCAUGCACGAAAGCGUGGGGAGCAAACAGGAUUAGAUACCCUGGUAGUCCACGCCCUAAACGAUGUCAACUGG
Molecule: ribosomal RNA, 352 nt
Filed under: uncultured bacterium
Lineage: Bacteria
Description: bacterial SSU rRNA
Rfam family: Bacterial small subunit ribosomal RNA
Source: RNAcentral